Molecule: ribosomal RNA, 245 nt
Filed under: uncultured Planctomyces sp.
Lineage: Bacteria; Pseudomonadati; Planctomycetota; Planctomycetia; Planctomycetales; Planctomycetaceae
Description: partial 16S ribosomal RNA
Rfam family: Bacterial small subunit ribosomal RNA
Source: RNAcentral
GACAGAGGUGCCGAGCGUUAGGCGGAAUCACUGGGCUUAAAGCGUGUGUAGGCGGGCCGUUAAGUAUCUUGUGAAAUCCCCCGGCUCAACCGGGGAAUGGCUGGAUAUACUGGCGGUCUUGAGCGAUCUAGGGGCAGAUGGAACAGACGGUGGAGCGGUGAAAUGCGUAGAUAUCGUCUGGAACGCCAAAGGUGAAGACAGUCUGCUGGGGAUCUGCUGACGCUGAGACACGAAAGCCAGGGGAG